UAAGGAAACGAAGCCGGCCGCCGUCUUUCGAAUCUUCACGCCACCGUCGUCGUGCACUCCUUGACCUCCUCCUCCACAACCGCCUCUCCCCACCGCCCUUCUCCUCUAUAAAUAGCCGGCCAUCCCUCCCCUUCUCUACCUACAAAUGGAGCUUCAUCUCUCUCUUUCUCUCCCAUGUCCGGCCAUGACUGCCCCCGGCCGAUCUCCCUCAUUGGAGCUUCGCAAGCCAAACCCUUGCGCCACCAACUCCGCCUCGCCGAGGUGAUUCCAUUUUUCCCGUUUUCCCCUUUUCUUCCACCCCAUAGCAGCCACCAUCGCCACUUCUUUUAGUGGCCGGAGCAAGUUCUUGCAGCUGCCGUUCCAGCCAUCCCUCUCUCUCCCUCCGCCAGCCACCACCCUCUCCGGAUGCACGGUGCUCGGGAACACCAUGCGCCGCCGGCGUCGCCGCCCUCCAGCCGCCGGAAAACCGGCACCCCUCCUCCCCUUCCUCUCUGUUCAACCGAAGGAGAGAACGAAGAGACGGGAAGAAGAAGAAGAAAAGAAAAAGAAAGAGAAGAAGAUAAAAGACUGACGGAUUUGGGUCAAGAGGAAGACCCCUAUGACUAUUAUUAUGAUGACCCUGAUAGCUUAGAAAAUCCCUAGAGGUUAUACCUUCCUAGUCAGAAUGUACUAGAACUUCCGCUGUGUAAUAUUAGUACUUAUGUUUAAUUAGGUGAGUACCUAUUCUUGUAAAACCCUUAGAAUUGUAAACUUUAACAUAUGCAAUGAAGAACCAGCUGUAUUACAUGUAUCAAUAUUUACUGAUCCAGGCAUUGAUACAUUAAUCUCAGUCGGAUCCAAGUUAUUAGUUUUGGGACCCGACACGUAUGGCCCACCCUUAUUCACAAAGUAGGUAGUAAACAUCGGUGAUGCCUAAUAACUAAUUCAAUCUUUCUCUUUAAUACAAGCAAUUAUGAUAGAUCGGACCCAACCGAGACAGUAUUAAUUGCUGGCAACAAAGAUCAGAUAAUUUAAAAAUUAUAUGGAUUCACACAAAAAGCCGAUGAGAUUGCUUAGGUUACGGGUAAAUAAUGUAUCGGCUAAAGCUCUGGUACAAUCUUAUGCAAAAAUAUCAUACAUAGUUAAAUCUAUUAAACAAACCAUAUUCUUAGCAGAUUGUACUUAAUCAAGACAGAGCAAAACCAAUAGCCAACUUAAUAGAUAUCAAGGUGUGAUACAAUUGCAUAAGAGGAUAUAUGUAACAUAUUAGGUAAAGAAAGAACAUGCAAACUUAAACCUAAAAUACCUAUAUCAUGUAAGAUCAGCUGAAACUCCGAUGCAACCCCUAUCAGCAAUUAUCGAGCAAGUUAGUUCUUACAACUUUGACUAUAACUUAGUAUAUCAAACCUAACUGAUGCAACACCAAGCUAUAUUAAAAAUUGAUAGAUCUGAACAAACUGAUAUUUGCUAUUCAGGGUGGUAGAUACAUUAACUAAUCUAAAACAACACUAUAAUUUAAUAUAAUAUCGAUAUUCCCAAAUUUAAAUCAACCAACACACGUUAAACAAUAUUAUCAACUUUAGAUUACCUAAUGUAUAUGAUAAAUAAUUGCUAUAUCAACUGGAAGUCGAAUCCAUCUGAAGUAAACAGUAGCCCCGACGAUGUCACACCCUGAUAAAUACAUCCCAACUUAAAAAUCACUUUCUAAAAGGAACAAAGGAAAUUAUUAAAAGCUUAAAAGAAAUCUCAAACACUAAGAGCAUCUCCAACAGCCUCUCUACUCAACUCUCGAAGCCAAAAAUUUGGCAAAUAAGCCAAAAACACUAUUUGACUCUGCAAGCCAUCAAGCCUAUCCAUUGGCCAACUUUGGCUAGUCUCCCAGGCUGGCUAUUCUCCUCUUCAGCUCUUCCUCUACUCAUGCUUUUCCUCUCCAUCGCCGAGCCACCACCACGCCAAUCACCCGCACCUCCACCACGCUCCCUUCUGGCCCCGCCGGAAAGCCCAAGUCGCAGCCGUCGUUGUCGUGGUGCAUGAGUGGGCGGCUCGCCGCCGAGGAAGAUGAGCGGCAGCGGCAGCUCGGCGACGAGGAGGGGCGACUCAUCGACGAGGAGGAGCGGUGGCGGCGGCUCGGCUCCUCGGACCUACGGUGGAUGGGCACACGACAACGACGACGAGGAGUGGUGCGGCAGCUCGGCUCCUCGGACCUGCGGUGGACGGGCGCACCACGACGACGAGGAGGAGCGAUGGUGGCGGCUCGGCUCCUCGGGCCUGCGGUGGAUAGGCACACGCGGCGGAUCCGGCGUCGGGAGCGGCGCGCGUCGCGAAUCCGGCGCCGGGCAAGCCCGCACGCAUGGCGACGGAUCGGCGGCGGAGAGAAGCCUCCGUGCUCCCGUCCCCCUUUCUCUGUCUCGCAUCUCCAGCGAUGGCGGAACCUCGUCGUCUCCUCACCGCCGCCGCCGACGUUGCCGUGUCCGCCGCAUCUCUAGCGCCGUCGGUCGCCUCGUCCCCGCACGGCAGCCCCCUCCGUCGACCACCUCCGUCAGCCACCUCGUCCGCACGCCGUGGGCUCACGUGGAAAAGGGGAAGAUAGAGGGAAGGGAAAAAGAAAUUAGAGACUGACAUGUGGGACCCAUCAAGAUUGGAGAGUGGGAUAGAGAGAUUGUUGGAGUAAAAGGCAAAUAUGACUCUCUAAUUUUUUGGCCAUUGGCUAAAUGGACAUUUGGAGAGUCCAAAAUAGCUAAUCUGUUAGAGAUGCUCUAAAAUACGUCCCAGAAAAAUCCGAAAGUGGCUUGGAGUAUUUUUGUUAAAUUCUCCAUGCUCUAAAAUUGGUUCCUCAAUUUUUACUUGAAUUUUUAAAGCAAACAAAAUAAUUUUAAAGCAAAAAAAACCAAAUUCGGAGUAAAUUUAAAUGAAAAACCUAAAAAUAAAUCUCUCCUCUUUGGGCCAUUUACGGCCCAAAGUCUGUUUUCCCUCCCCGCUGGCCCGCUCGGCCUUUCUCUCCCUCCCUCCCUCCCUCCCUUUUGGGUCAAUCUCCCUCUCCCAGCCCGUUCUUUUCUCCAAGCCAACCCACUUCCUCUCCUCUCUCUCCAUCGGACCUAAGUCCGUCCUCGACGCGGCCUAGCCAGCCCAACUGUAGGUCGUCCCCUACCUCUAGCGGCUGACUGCUCCUCUCUCUCUCUCUCUCUCUCUCUCUCUCUCUCCUCCGUUCGGAACCCUAGCGCCGCCGCCGAGUUGAUCCACCUCCUCGCACGAUUCUCCACCAAAUUGAUCAGAAAAGUCGGUUCCUUUCCUCCUCUUUAUUUUUGCCAUAAUUUCCCACUCAAUUGUGUACAAACUCACCUUGAAUCGAUGACUUUUCAUCUCCGGCGAACUACCGGCAUUGAUGGCCGGCCAGUGAGCUCCCCCGGCCGUUCCACUCCUCCCCUGCCUAUAAAUGGGCAGCAACACCUCCCCUCCCCUUUGAAAGAGAAUCUAUGCCCCUAGUGGGUUUUGGUUAAUUGAUGACAAACGAUUAGGGGAUUAAUGCGCUUAUUGAAUGUAUAAGCAAGGGAUUAGUCUGAUGAAGAACCAAUGAAGAUUACGAAGAAGAAUAUGCAAUACAACGAUGUUUCAUUGUGAUUCAAGGCUAGAAGUGACGAAAGAUGGCAAGAUGAUGUGACCAUGCCUACCAGUGAUACAACCAUUGCUCACAUCAUUGAUCAACAAGAAGUCAUCAAGGUCAAGUCCUCCAAGUGCUGGAAUCCGAUUCGGCCACCUGCUGCACUGUUGACUUCAAAGGGCCGCCAAAGCUGCAUAGGACCUCUGUUUUUGGCCCUUGAGUACUUGACGGAAAGCUCUCGGAGUCCUAUUUCCAAUAGAACCAGCCACAUCUCCGAAUUCCAGUUCGUUUGGCUGCAAUCACACAAACAAGGUUCUGCGUCACCUAUAUUGGGCCAAUGGGCUUGUAACUUUAUUUGGGACCCCGGCCCAAGUGGGGCCCAUGUGGGGUGCGCCCCAACCAGGUGGAUCACGACCCUAGGGCCCCAUAGGUCGUCCUCCCACCUCCUUAAAUAGUUAGGUACCCCUUCAUGGUUUCUGGGGUUUUGUUAGAUUAAAGUUUAGCCAUUGCUACUUGCUGGCAGCGUGCGUGUCGGCUAGACCGUCCGUCUGCUUGUUCUUCGGAACCCCAACUUAUCUUAUGUAUUCAUUCCUUUUUUUUACGAGGAAAGAGUGAUUAUAUUAAAACUUAAGGAGGUUUACAAUCACGAUCCAGAAGCUCAGACACACACCGAGGAGCUUUGAACCGCCAGACUACACACUCUUUCGACCUAAGAGCCAGCUGUGCUAGCUUAUGAGCAACACAAUUUCCUCCUCUAUGAACUUUCUCAAUCUUGCACUGGGGAAGUAGCUGUAACUUUGCUUUGGCCUCCUUUAAAAUCGUCCACAGACGACAUCUCUCUGAAUCCAGCCCCCUCAUCGCUUGAACUAUAUUGGCACAAUCAGUUUCCAGUACAAUCGGGAGGUUAAUCCAUUUUAGCGCUAGGUGUAUACCCUCCAGACAGGAAUAGGCUUCAGCCUCCUCCGCCUAACUGCAGUGCCUGAUGAUCCUCCAGGCCGAGAGCAGGACCUGACUGCCAUGAUCUCGAAUAACAACACCCAGGCUGGCUUCCCCGGUCUGCUGAACAAAAGCUCCAUCCGUAUUCACUUUCGCCCAGUUUACCUGCGGCUUUGCCCAACUAUUUGGUUGACAAAUGAUUUCAGUUUGCACCCUUCUACCUUCCUGCUUGGAUACUUAGCUCUUCCCGUUCUGGUUUCCUUCAUCCUCAUGUUUAAUUUGCUCGGAGUGUCAAAACAGCAAAGCCCCAAAGUUUGCAGUCCCAAUUUUACAAUUUUCUCAACACUGGGGGAUUUGCAAUUAUGACACUGCAAACAUUAAGCUUUGCUAUAAUGACACUGGACCCAUAUUUCAUAGACACAGAUGGGCCCAUUUAUCAUCCACUCGGAGUGUCAAAACAGCAAAGCCCCAAAGUUUGCAGUCCCAAUUUUGCAAUUUUCUCAACACUGGGGGAUUUGCAAUUAUGACACUGCAAACAUUAAGCUUUGCUAUAAUGACACUGGACCCAUAUUUCAUAGACACAGAUGGGCCCAUUUAUCAUCCACUCGGAGUGUCAAAACAGCGAAGCCCCAAAGUUUGCAGUCCCAAUUUUGCAAUUUUCUCCUCAACGGUUGCCUAUCCUGUGCCAAACAAGAUGUCGUUUCGGUGGAACCAAGCUCUCCAUAACAUGAGCAAGAAACAAGCUCUAACAUCCUGAGUUAAGCCUUGAAGGAUCAACAAAAGCCAAUCAGGGCCCGUGCGUGCCAGCAAGUAUUAUGCUGGCAGCUUCCAACAGGAACGAAGAGACUCCCUCAGAGCUCUCGCCCUCAUACAUGAGAUGACAGCAUGAAACUCAUCCUCUACUUCCAUACCACAAAUACGAUAGGUAGCAUCAACUUCCAGGUUUCGGGAGCAUCUAUUUCGUAUAGUAGCAAGACCCUUGUUAGCUAGCCUCCAAGCGAAAAUCUUGAUCUUAUGGGGCACCGGUGUUUUCGAGAUGGAGCCCCAAAUACUGCGCUCACCAUUUGCAGCCGAGCUGGAAGAACCAAGAUUAGAAUCAAGCCUAGCAUGCAGCACCAACUUGUAAGCACUUUGAAUAGAGAAGAGACCUGACUUUUCAUAAUGCCACGCAAGAAAAUCCUGUCUGAUAUUGAGGCAGUUUAAUUUUGAGAAUUUCUAUGGCAUCAAAAGGAUUGCAUAUUCGCCAGAUCAGAUCCGCAUCCCAGGAACGAUCAUCUUGCUUUAUUAACUGGGAAACCCAACGAAGGCGACACCUUCCAGCAACACCAGCUAACAUAAGCGAGGAUUCACUCGGUAUCCACCGAUCAUGCCAGAUUCUUACUUUUGUCCCAUCUCCAAUACGCCAAAUCAGACCUUUCUUCAGCAAUUGAAGACCAUAUUCCAGGCUCUUCCAAGUCACCGAUGAGUCACCCAGGAAAACAGCAUCUAUUAACUCACUGUUAGGGAAAUAUUUAGCCUUCAACAACCUGGCGCAUAAGCUAUCCGGAAACUGAAUCAGGCGCCAAGCUUGCCUGGCUAGGAGAGCUUGGUUGAAAAGCCUCAUAUCCCGAAAACCCAAGCCUCCCAUGAAUUUAGGCAGAAUUAGCUGUUCCCAAGCGAUCCAAUGCACUUUCCGUUUAUUGGUCUCAUCACCCCACCAAAAAUCCCUGAUCAUUUUGGUAUAAUGUCGGCUCCCAAAACUAAUGAUUCAGAAACCGACAUGUUUAGACUGUAUCAAGCCCUGGAUCAGUAGAUUGAUACAAGUUCAAUAAUCUGGAUCGUCUUUGCAUACGUCUAGGCAUAGCUUUGAAGGAGAUAUUAUUAUAUGAAGUAAUAGGGUAUUUACAAGAUUGUGUCUAACUAUUACAGCAGAAGCUUUAGAAUGGACUACCUCUGCUGUUUUGCUAUAGACUUAAACUAUCUAUCUAAUCUAUAAUUGAGAAUUAAGUUAGAAUGAAACUAACUUAUAUGAUUGAACUCCCAGCAUCGAUAAGAAGGACUCUGAAAAAAAGGGGUUGAAGCAAGGGUGAGUACAACGUACUCAGCAAGCUAUUAUAUCAAAUAUGAAUGUAUGAAAUAUUAUCUGAGUGGAGCUAGGUUUAAUUGCAGAAAGCUGAGAAAGUGGAAGGAGAAAGCUUGUAAUGUUUUAAAUGCAACAGUAUUUAAUAAAAUUUCGAAUUAGGUUUCUAUCCAAGAUGCCAUAGUGAGUCCAUAUGCCCGAUAACUGUAACAGCCCUAGGUUCAUAACCAGGUAUUUAGAAGUGUAUUUGUUGUCCUUUAGAUUUUAUAUUUACUAUGUUUGCAAUUUGAUCAUAGGCGAUAACAAAAUUAACUCUAAUCGGUAAAAUUGAAACCACUUCUAUUUGAACAAUAACUUGAACAGAAGUGUACAUGUGCAAUAAUUUAUUCAAAUACUAGUUUAUUUAUCACCAACAAAUAUAAAUUUUGUGGAAUUUUUACUCUCUGUUUUGGCCUCCUAAAAAUUCAAACUAACUUUCAGCCUAACCAAUUUCAUCUUUUCACCAGAAUUAAAAAAUUUUGAUUUUUUGAGUGAAACUUUGAAAAAUGGAAACUAGGUGUCCAGGUCUAUCUCCACACCAAAGGAUAAAAUUCUAUCACUAUUAUUUCUUGAACUAACUGAGUGUCAUAUUGGAAGAGGUGUAAAAUUACUGAAAAUUCCUGAAAUCUGCCCAAAUUCUUGUUCCACCUCUAUUCUAGCCCUUACUUCUUAGACCACCACGACUUGGGCCCACUUGUCACUGACCUUGGGUGCCUUUUUAGCCCAAAACCCACCCUUGGGCGUUCUCCCCACCUCAGGACAUAAGGUGGGCAGAGGAAAACCCCUUCUUCUUCCUCCCCUAUUGUUCUUUCUUUUCCUCAUCAAGCUGAGGUCCCAGCUCACUUCUCCUCCCCAAAUCCCAUCUAAGAACCCAAACUCAAGCUCUGCAUGUUAGACCACAACAAUCCCCAUCAUCCAAGCUUUCCAUCCAUCCCAACAUCUUGCACAUGCAUGGAGAGUUGAGAGAGAUCGAGAAGGAAUAAAAGAGUGGUGGUUUCAGCCUGCAGGGCUGCAGCAGCAGCAUUUUGUUUUCCUCCAUUUGGUUGUCCACUCCAUUGCUGCAGCUAGAAGGUGGCUGCAACUCACCCCGAGUUCAUCUCUUUUGGUUUCGGUUGAAACAGCCCUAGGCAACGUCUCUUGCCGUCAGCCCAAGACCUUGCUCCAUCUCUUGCCAUCAGCCCGAGGCCUUAGUCUCUCACGACCCUACGUCCAGGUUGCUGCCAUGUGAGCGAAGUCCGGUGGAAGUUGGAGAAAAGGGGAGUGAAAAUAGAAAUCGAUUUCUGAGAUAGCUAUUGAGCUGAAAGAGGUAUGCGCUUUAAAAAUUCAUAAUUAAUUCAUAUGAACUCCGAAUUCAGUGAACCAAAUUUCUGUGGAUUAAGAAAAACGUGAUAUUCAAGAAAACGUGAUAUUCAAUGUUGUAAAAUAAAAAUGACCAACUUUUGUACUUGUUUUCCCAGUAAAAAUAUAAAUAGCUAUAUGUAUCCCUUGUGUGGUCUAGCUCUUAAUAAAUUCGUAAGAAAUUAUUGGUAAAAGCUAAAAUUGUGAAACCAAUUUUGUUGAGCUUAUAUUUUAGUACUCUUUGCUGUUGUGGUGUUGUUUUUGGCAAAACUACCUCUUAAAUCAUGUUUAGGAGUUUAUUUAGCAUUCCUAUGUUUUUAAGUUGUAAAACCCAUAUAUAAAUAAUGACAACAUACAGCUGUGAAAUAUUUUUUCUUAGGACCUGUGAGUGAUAUACUUUACUCUAAAAAUAAUCAUUAUUAUGAAAGCUUGGUUUGAGUUGCAAGUUGCUUGAAAUGCUCUAAAGGAAACAUUAAUAUUUACAGAACUGCCAUUUUCAGCACUUGAGAGCUUGUCAUUUUCAUAUCUCCCAAACCAUAAGUGAUAAUCUGGUGAUUCAUUCACCUAAAUUCAAGUUAAAAUAUGAUCUACCUACUGUAUUUAUUUCAUAAUUUAUUGAUCAUUUUGCAUGUGCAUGUUUAUUUGGCUCUUAUUCGCAUAUUGCUUCUUUUUGAUAUAUUCGGAGAUUCCGGAGAGAAACGAGCCAUAUCCCGAGGAGGAUAGUGACUACCCUCAGCAGCAAG
This is a non-coding RNA of Oryza sativa Japonica Group (Japanese rice), 8692 nucleotides long. NCBI's taxonomy places the organism in Eukaryota, Viridiplantae, Streptophyta, Magnoliopsida, Poales, Poaceae. The record is from RefSeq and is a predicted model, not a curated record.